Molecule: long non-coding RNA, 13153 nt
Organism: Acinonyx jubatus (cheetah)
Lineage: Eukaryota; Metazoa; Chordata; Mammalia; Carnivora; Felidae
Exons: 3
Source: RefSeq, a predicted model, not a curated record
GGAGGGCACCUUUUGGGAUGAGCACUGGGUGUUGUAUGGAAACCAAUUUGACAGUAAAUUUCAUAUUUAAAAAAAUAAAUUAAUGGAAAGAUGUUUGAUGUUAUAGAUAAGAAUGUUUAAUAUUUUUAUGAUGGCAAUAUUUCCCAAAUUGACCUAUAGAUUCAACACAAUCUUUAUCAAAAUCUGAGUUGAUUUUGCUGCAGAACAUGACAAACUGUCCUAAAAUUACUUUAAAGGACCCAGAAUAGUUCAAAAUAAUCUUGGAAAAGAAGAAAAAAGUUGAAGGACUCACAAUCCUAUUUUAAAAACUUACUAUAAAGCUGUAGAAGUCAAGACAGCUUGGUGCUGGUGUAAGGACAAACACAGAUAAAUGGAAUCAAAUUGAAAAUCCAUAAAUAAACCUCCAAGAAAAGGGAGAGAGAAAAAUACAUAGAGCAAAAUCCAAAUUUCUAUCUUGAGAUAAAUGCUUCAAUAUAUCAUCUGUCUAUCCUGCUAUCAUAUUUGUUUUCAUGAUUCCCUAUGAAAUCAUUUUGGAAUAAAUAUAAUCAAUUGGAAUAAAUAUUUUCUGAUUGAAGUUUGGCAAUUGAAUCUUUUGUCACCGCAGAGAAAAGAGUCAGUAUUUCUCUUUUUCACUCCACUACAUUAUUCCCUAUCCACCUCCCUCGCCCCCAGCCCCAUGGCCAACCACCUGGUGAACUCUCUGGAAAGGGUAAACAUUAGCUGAUUUAAAUACACACUGAGGUAUAAACUAUUCAUAUCCCAAAUUUUCCUGAGGCUCAAAGGUCCUUGGAGGGUUAGUGAGCCAGAGUAUUCCAAAAGCAUUUCUGUGACCUCUGAAUCCAGACCCAGCCAAGUUACCAUGUCACCUAGGAUUAGGAUUCAGAGCAAGGCAGCUGACUUGGUAAGAGAAACUGCCUAAGCUCCAGUAAUAAAACUAUGGUUUGGUUGUUAGAGUUGCUAUAAAGUAGCAGUUGUUUUAAAAAUUGUGUUAAACUAGGAGAGUUGAGAGGAUUCAGUUAAGAUUUAGGAAGAUGUGAGGAACAUCCAGAGGCACCAAAUUUGAGAGAGUAUGAUAAGGAAAAAUAUUCUUUUUUCAGAAAUUUUAAGUAGGAAUGAGGCAGAUUGCUGCUGUUUCAGAAGGGACGGCGAGGGGACUGAACGAAACCAAUAAUUAAUCUUAUAAUAUAUGAGGCUGAAGGCAAUUAAAAUAAAAUGAAUACUAGUGACUUGAGUUUGUUUUGGAAUAGAGAACCUAUUUAAUAAUGAGGCAACUGCCCAGACUGAAAAGAAAUGUUUGGGGAGGGAUGAAGAAAAGUUUAUAAAGGCCAAAUUUAUUGAGCUCUUAAAAUAUGAUCAUGUUGGAGUGAAUUUCAGAAGUUGUGAUUAUUAAAACUACUUACUACUUCAUUUCUAUCCUGCCAAACCCUGCCAGUGAAAGAACACACAACUCACACUAUGGCAAUGGAAUUUAGAGAAUCCACAAAACUUCAUCAAUUGUCACAAAAACACACUGAAACUAACAAAAAUCUGUUUCGCCUACCUUUCAAAUGUUAGUUUCAUUUUGAAGAGUCUAUAAACCAUAUAUAGAGUUGUAAUGAAAAGAAAAACUAGCCCAGGAACUUUUUCAAAUGUUCUGAAGGUAUUAUGAUGUUCGUCUCCAAUACAGAUGUAUUUUCAGCUGUGCCCCUCCCUCCCCAUCCCAGUAGGCAGGCAAAUUCAGAUGAUAUGUGCUAUGGAACUAGAAAAUCUCAACAAAAUCAUAAUUUAAACAUCUAAUUAUGAUUCUUAAAGAAAACUCAAAUAUAUAAGCUUUUUCCUCUCAAUUAAAAACUACAAGCAGAUGAAUUUUAGGUUUUGGAUAUCAAUGUUAAAUAGAAUAUACGAGAUUGCUCAUAAGAGAUGGGGUGAGAGGGACAGGCGGCACAGGGAGGCAGCACCACUGGAAAUACACUGAUAAACAAUUAAAAAGAUUAAAUAGAAGGAAAUUGUCUACACAUUUUUACAGGAGAAGGUUAAUCUAAAACGACACCAGUCCCAAAAAGGUUAGCUGUCACAUUCAACAGCAGGGGCAUAUAGUGGUCACUGGCUACCGAAAGGAAGAAGUGGGUAAAUUUCUCCAGGUCACAUACUUUCCAGAAAGAUGAGCUCUUCAGUGUCUUUGGCUGGCCUGUGUUAUGAAGGCGUCCCAUUCUAUGGAAGGUUUUGUUAACCUAGCUAGAAGCAGGUCCUGAUUGGUCAUGGGAGAAUCCGGACUAAAUGGUAUACAUUUCUGAUGAUGUAAAAGUAAAUUAGAGAACAGGGCAAGUUAUUACACCAGAGAACGGAGGGCAAUGGGGAAUAAUAAAAAUCAGGCUACUCUAAUUUCCUUUGAACAACUAAAUAUAUACAGGUCAUUAUUUCCUGUAAUCCGCAGGCCUCCCAGUGCAAGUCCUGGCCCUGUGUUAAAGCCUCUGAGACAAAAACAACAAAAUGCAGUGUGGAGAGAAAUGAAAAACACUGUAAUGCUAUUUAAAGAAUGGAUUAAGUACAGUUUUCAGUUGCCAGCUUUCUUCUCAUCUUGGAAUGUUAAAUUAGAGAAGCAGGAGGGAAAUUCACCUUGUUUGAAAAAUUCAGAUGUCUCCCUACCAGCAAUUUCCAUUCAUAUUUUCUGUAGUCUGUUCCUGUACAUGGCUGGGGCAGCUGGGCUGCAUUCUAACUUCUGUUUGCCAAAGCAGAAUCAUAAAGGGAAUAGCAGUUUCUCCUUGAAUGGGGUUUAGGCUAUACUCAACAUUAUUUCUCUGGAGAUUGAUCUGAGUCCUUCAUUUCAAGUCUGGGCCAAAAGUGGUCCCUUUUCCCAGAUGGACACUAUACCAGUUGCAUAGGAGUGCGGAAGUCUCUUUUCCAGCCUUAGGUAGGUCUGUGCAUCCUCCCUAAUACAGGAGGGCUUGUAGGCAAACAAAAGCAGCUACUUAUAGGCCCAGGGCAUUCUGUGUGUUGGCAAGAGAAUAAUUGAGAAACAAUGAAGACUUUUUCCAGUGCUUUUGGCUCCAUGGACCCCUGACGUCCAAAUCACCUGAUGUGCUUAUUGUACAUACUGAUUCUUGGGCAUCUAAUCAAUUUUGCUAAAGGAUGGAACCCAGGAACUCUUUCAAAUGGUCCCGUUGAUUCUUACAAACACUAAAGUUUGGAAAUCACCGCUAGCCAUUCUUUACCUUUUCACCAAACUUAUCGAAAGGAACUGCUAGGGAUGUUUUUGUUAUCAUAUUUGUAUCUGGAGACAGCUAGAACUAAAUUCACUAUGACUGUGCCCAGUUUCUUCUCUAGGCACUGUCAUACUAUGUUGAAUAAGACUUUUUCCAAUGGUAUUAAAUUCUUGUACUACUCAGCUUGUGACAGUCCUACUGCAUUUCACGUGUCCUUAUUGUUUCACCCACAGGACCAUGCAUAAUCUAUGAAGAUUUGAUCACAUGGGGACUCUUAGCUCCCAGGCAGCUAGAUGGGGACAGAGAAUCUGAGUGAUGGCAGAGAGUUCUUACUCUGGGAGGCUGGCCUGGAAACACCAAAGUCUCACCUGUUCCCAGCAAAUCUAUCCAGAAAGACUGGAGAAUGUCCAGAGAUGGCAAAGGUUGAGUUGAGACCCUGAAAGCUGGCAGUGUUGAUCUGGGAGUUCAGCUUAAGGGAUGGGGGCAGUAAUAAAACAGAAAGGGGGCAGUUAGUUUGGUUAGAAAAAUAACAGGAUACAGCCAUCUAAUGUAUUUCUAAACAUGACUUUCUUCACUAUCCAAUAUUUAGAUAAAUACAGAAGACGUCCCUUUUACCUGGGAUAGUUCUCCUCAAGCUUCUUGUCCCAGUGCAAUCAUUAAUUGCUUAUGUGUUCCGUUUGGCUAAAAAUGGUAUGCAGAUCCAGUAAUAUCUUGUCCUCCCGUUACCUUUGCUGGUCCUAAAAAGAGACCACAUAUCCAAGUUCUAUAAUUAAAAGAUUAGUAAGCCCCUUUAAGGCUUUAUCAUUGCUUAGCCUUAGAACGAGUUUUAAUAAGGUGAGAGAAAUAACAGGUUCCAUUGGCACUAGACAUGGAGUGAGGGAGGAAUGACAUCCAAGAGAAUGGUGUAGGAUACAAAGAUUGAGGACAGGUUUAUGUCAGGCCAUGUCUGGUGCUACAGAAAACCCUGUUACUUCUGAUACUUUUUUUUUCUUUAAAAGAGAAGUUCUAGGGGCGCCUGGGUGGCUUGGUCAGUUAAGCGUCCGACUUCGGCUCAGGUCAUGAUCUCACGGUCCGUGAGUUCGAGCCCCGCGUCGGGCUCUGUGCUGACAGCUCAGAGCCUGGAGCCAGCUUCACAUUCUGUGUCUCCCUCUCUUUCUGCCCCUCCCCUGUUCAUGCUCUGUCUCUCUCUGUCUCAAAAAUAAAUAAACGUUAAAAAAAUUUUUUUAAAUAAAAAAUAAAAGAGAAGUUCUAUUUGUAAUUCAGAGCACACAAAAUAUUUAAACAUUAUCUUUUUAUCAAACCAUUGAAUACACUUAUUUUUAUAACUUUUCUCGACUGUUAAGUAAUAGUCUUGAAUAUUAAAUACUAACAUAUUUGAAAAUUACACCUUUACUCUGAUUUGCCUAGAUCUAAUAUUGCCAGCAAGCUUUUCCAGCUAUUUUCCCCCAAUCAUCUUUGGUAAUACUUUAAAUAUUACUAUGACAUAUUAGAAAUAAUAAAAAUCCCUACCUUUCCAGGAAAUGCUGCUAUUCUAGAAUCAUAGAAAAUUGGACACCUCGGAGUGCCUGGGGGGCUCGGUUGGGCGUCCGACUUCGGCUCAGGUCAUGACCUCGCGGUCCUGGGUUCGAGCCCCACAUCGGGCUCUGUGCUGACAGCUCAGAGCCUGGAGCUUGCUUUGCAUUACUGUGGCUCCCUCUCACUCUGUCCUUCCCCCACUCACUCUCUGUCUUUCUCUGUCUCUCAAAAAUUAAUAAAUGUUUAAAAAAUUAAAAAAAAAAAAGAAAAUUGGGCAUCUCUGUUUAAAGAAAGUAAUUGUCAUAGGUUCAGUUAGGCCUGGGAGGCAGAAAAGGAAGUGAAACAAAAUAGGGGGCUGAUAUUUAGUAUGUUCAAGUUGGGGGAAAAUAAGAUACUUUCAAUAGAACUGAGUUCUCUUGUCAUUGCCAGAAAGUGUCUCUGAGAAAAUAAACAUAUACACUCCCUUCCAAAAAAAAAAAAAAAAGUGAGAACAGGAUUUUUCCCCCCCUCUUAAUUUGCUGUUUGUUUCUAAAAAAAAUCCACCCCCACAUAGGUCACUUGGAAUUCAUUUUGUCUACAUCCUGGACUGCACGUAGGGAGACAAAAAAAAACCGCCUGGGAUUGGAGAGGAGGAAUGUGGCAGGGCAUGGGAAUCGCGGUGUCCUGGUGGUCACCGAGCAUAUUUUGGCUUGUCUUAAAACAAGCAAGCACCGUUGGACCUUUGGAAUCCUAACAAGUGAAGAAAUAUUAUUUCCUUCCUGACUCGCUGAAAAUUCAAGUAGAGAAGACCGUGAAGAAUCUGGGCAAUAUUUCUCAUAUUUAGUUCUGUAAGAUUUUAUUUAGUUGUGCUCUGACCCUGGGUACUCUUGAGAGCUAAGAGAUAUAGAAAAUGUCUUUUGGAGUUUGAGAACCGGGGUUCAAAAUCCUAAUCCUGUCUCCUUUUAUCCAUAGGAUUUGGGCAAGUUACUUAAGGUCUAUCACCAUUUUCUUAUCUGUAAAAUGGACUUAAUAAUAGUAUCUACCUGAAAGCAUUAUUGGAAGGAGUAAAUGAAUACUUCAUCUGUAGAACAAAUGUCUGUCACAAGAUAAGAAAUUUCAUUCUUAUUAUAGCCCCAUCAGUUGAUAUGUAUUACAGCAUCUAGGACUCUGAUAUGUAAAUUUUACUUAGACAUUUUUAUUCCUUUGUAUGUUUUUAAGAGUAAUGCCUUGAGACACUUUUCAUCUCUGUGUUCUUAAUGUAACAUCACAGUGUUUCACUCAAAGUUACUCCAUAAACAUUUGUUAAAUGGAUGGCUGGCUGGCUGGCUGGAUGGAUGGAUGGACAGAUGGAAGUAGAAAUAUACAGCAUCAGGGUUGGUCCUAAGCAAUCAUUUUCAAAUCAGGACGUGUAUAUCUGGGGGUAUCUCCUUUCUGUCAUCCCCUUCAACUGUUUAGAUAUUGUUGCCUUUCUAAGUUUGGACAUGCUCCAAGCCUUGUUUUUCCUCCUCUUUCUUAUCACAUUUUUCUUCUCUUCAGUUCUUCUAAGUGACUAUCUAGUUUGAUCAGUAAGUAAAAGGGGCUUUAUGUGUCAUGUCUUCAAGAUAGCUUGUAUAUUUUAUCAGAUAUUUUUUUUCUCACUGCUUCAUUCCACAGAAGUGACUAAUAUGGGGAUUUCAAGAGAGCUAUUACAAAAAAAAUUUUUUUUGUAGGAGGCUUUUGGACUUAAAAAAAAAAAAAACAAAACCUAUAAAACAUCUGCCUCCUUUACCUGGGGCUAAAGCUGACCCUGAGCAAUACUUUGUUCCAAUAAUAUGAACAGCUACAUAAACUCAUUUUGCAUGAAAAGGUAGGGGGUAAAUAUCGAAAGAAGGAGGCCAUCAGGAAGCCCCUGUGGCAUAUGCUGAGUUACAGUCCAGCAAUAAGAUUAACACAUGCACUUCAGCCCCUCUCCCCAUCCCCAAGGGAAGAGAAGCCUGAGUGUCAACAUGAAAUAUUCAAGUCUCAUAUUUUCCAGGUGUACAAGCCAAAUCUCGCAAUGAUGUUGGCGACUUCUUAGAGUUGCAAAAUAAUGGAGAAAUUUUCAAGUGAAUGAUUCUCUGGAUCUCUUAAGAAUAUUCUUUCUUUCUACAUGUUCUUUCAAACUUGGUAUUUCAACAGUGGUGGAAGGUCAAAGUGGAAUUCAGACAAGUGUCACAUAUUUUGCUGAGGCAACAGGUACGUAAUGAAGGCUUUUUAAAACUGCACAUACAAUGGAUGAAACAAGAAUUGCAUAAAAACUCUGAAGUUUAAUAUUCACUCUGUUGAGGCAUUUUCAGGCAGGUUGGGUAUAUGUCAUUAGCCAUUUUCCAAAUGCCUGGAUAAUGGCUCUUGGUUACUAAAAGAAUAUUAGAAGCCCUGUUGAAAGGGUCCUCAAACUACAGAGGAAGGUGAUAUGGGGUGGGGGAGAGGGUACUGCUGGCAUCGCCUUUUCCCUGUAAGCAAUCCCCACUCAUUGUGGGCGCCCCAAAAGAAGUUUGUGAAAGCAUAGAGGAGAAGGGGAAGGGUGAACGGGAAGGACUGAAAGGGAAGGGAAAACUAUCAUAGGGGGUGCAAAAGGAAAAGUCACAGAGGCAAGAAGAAACCUCCAAGAAUUGAAUUCUAUAGAUGCAAAGGAGAGAAAUAUUGAUUGGUGGCAGAUAGUACUUGAAGAAAGAUGGAACAGUGUGAGAAAUAAGGAACAGAAUGAGGAUAUAUUAUUUCCCUACUAUAUUGUGGGCAGAGUGGACCAUAGUCUGUUACACCAUCAACCUUCUAAUAUGGGUAUUUUGGGUCCCCACUUCAUAACAAUUGAGUUAGGGCUAACUGAGGUAAAGCCACACGUUUCAGGUCAGUGUUAAGUAAAUCAGUUCAGGGUUCCACAGCACACUGUCUGGUUCCAUCGAAUUUUUUUUUUUUUUCUGUACCUUCUGCACUUUUUUCUGGAACUUCUGCCUCACAGUGAGGCCUUUGAUUUGGCUCUAACCUGUUUCUUAGUUUCCCAGGUAAAAGGUGCAGACUCCAGAGGGAGUAGCAUGGUAUGGCCAAGAGAAAGCUGUCAUGGGAGUGGUAGAUCCCUUACUUCUAUUACAAGCCUCGUUACUAAGUAGCUGUGUGAUCUUAACCUCUAGUCUAUGUUCCUUUCUUCCUCAUCUGUGAAAUGAGGGAGUGGGGAUGCAGUGUUGUCUUAAGGUAGCUUUUGGCUUCAAUAUUCUGUGGUUCAAUUGAGUUAAAUGAAAGUGAAUGUAACCAGAUGAACGCUGGGCUUCUAGAAGUAAUGCAUUCAUGUACUCCCUAGCAAGUACGGGUUAUUGGAGUCACUGGGAGAAAUGCUUUAAAUUUAUAUUCCAUUUAGAAUAUCUGUUAGUAGAUGUGAAAGAAAUUACAUGAGAAUGCCGAACAAAUAUGAAGUUCAGAAGACAGAUAUUUCAAAACUUUUUGGAAAGAAAUCGAAGAGAAGAAAGAAGGGAAGUCGGUAGGAGAAAGGUUGAAUCAAAAUAUCCCCCCGCCCCCCCCUUUGGGGAAACAGCUGCAUUACUGAUGUUCCUUUCCUCAUACCAGAAUUGUGUACUUAUUUCAGAAUAUGGAAGCACUUGUAGCAUUUUCCCUCAUUCUUACUAGUUCCAAAGUGGAUUAUAUCCCUAGCUGGGUCAUUCCAUAUUCUUUAUUUUAAAACUUACUCUAAGUGUCUUAAAUAUUAACAAUUAAUCUAAUCUCUGUAUUUAAUUCAUAGACUUUUAAACUAAAAUAAUACAAGUUAUAAUCACUCUGCCUAAAUUAGACUUUAAAUCUCUAAUGCACUUUUAGAUUUCUAAAUUAUUUUUUAUUUACUAAACUAUUACAUUCUUUCUGCAAUGAGGUAGGUAUGAACAAAUAGAUUUAAUUGCAAAUACAUUAUGAAAUUUGAUCUUCACACAAUCUUAUGAGGAAGAUAAAGCAGAGUUUAUCAUUUUCAUGAAUGAAUCGCAGGCAGGGAAAGAUUACCUCUCUUCCAUUUUUUUUUUUUUAAUUUAGGAACCAUAUACCUUUAGAAAGGAAUGGUAAACUUGGAAGAAAGAAAAUUUUAAGUGAAUGUUUUUCAAGGGCAAUGUUGCGGUAUGCAUGCCCAGCAUGGUGAUGGGGGGGUGGGGGGAGUCACCCUGUGGCUACGUGGAAGGUAGUUCUUCCUGCUGUGCACCAUGCUGGGCUUGCCAUCCUGCGCAGGGCCCCCAUCCAACUCAGCUUGGUGAGAGCUACAUACUCUUUGAAGGACUUGCUCUGCUUGUGGAGGGAGGGACGCUUCGGGGGCUGCCACAGGUGGGAGUCGUUCCCAUCAGUGGCCAGCUGUUGCUGAUAAAGGAAGCUGGUCACUAGCUUCUCCAGCUGGAAGGCGCAAGCCAAAGCUUUCGCGGUGCUUCGCAGCGGGCAGUCCUGGAGCUUGGUUUCUGCGGAGGCUAUGCGGCCACGCAGAUACCGCGGCCACCUGGUCUUCUUCCUCCGGGAGUUCCCUCUCCUCCCUCUCCAACCGGGGCUGGUGCGGGAAGGACCCACAGAGCGCUUCAAAGGCCAAGUCGUCCUGGAAGUACAGGCAGGAGGCAUAAAGCACCAGGUGAAACCAAAUCCUCCUGCUAACACUAGUACCGGUCUUAAGUAUGAAAUGUGGGUAAGGGGAAGAAGAAGAAGGAAGAGCAGAGACUAUAUCCAUUUCUAUAGCUUACAAUAAAAUAUAAUAAAAAUUGUCUGAAAAUUACCACUUGCAAAAAUCAAUGAGAAUCUUUAAGAACUAAAUCCAUAUAUACUUGGGGGUUAAAGGGGAGCCAAACUGAAGAUAAAAUAUUUCCCUAAUAUUUCCCUCUACAAUGAUCUUGAGUUGAGAAUCAAUUUUGCUGUCACUAUUGACCAAGUAUAAAGAUAUGUUCUUUACAAAAUUCACAUCGCAGAAAUAUUUUGACAGCCUUCUUGUUUCAUGAGUUUUCACAGUCCUGAUCAGGAUAUGAAAAUGUUUUAUCUCAUUUUUCAAUACUGCACCGUUGGUGGUGACUUCAUGUUAUAUAUAUUGAAAAUUAUUCAUUCACUAUAAACUUUCCGUGAUUAACUUGCAAUGGCUGACAUUGGUAUGGAGACUGGGGUGAAAAUAUGUAGUUUUCUAUUCAACAUUAAGGAAAAUAGGAAUAGGAAUUGAAAAGAAAGCAUAAUAACAAAGGCUGGUAGAUAUUUGUGAUAUGUACAGAAAGUAAAAUGAAACAGGAAUAUUAUAUGAAGAAAUGAAAGAUUCCCAAGGACAGAACAAGGCUGAUGCUUCAAGAUCACAUGGAAAGAAAUUACAAGAUACUUGGCUUAAAACAAAUUUUAACAUUUUGGUAUUAAAAAAUUUUUUAAAAUAUGUACACUUAAAAGGUACUAAAAACAACUCAAACAAGAGCAAGUUUGUGGCUCUUUGAUGUAGGACAAAUUCAGGAAAGAGCCGUUGGAGCCCUAUGAGUGAGUUUUCCCAAAGGAUUAUAAAAGGAUGCAGUGCUGAGCCAGUGCACAUUCCUUCUCACGGUCUCCUUUACCUUUUCCCUGCUUCCUUUCUGAUGUCUCUUGUUGUUUAUGGCUGAACAUUUAGGGCUUCUUCCUUUUAACGAAUUCUUUAGCCUUUGACUUGCCUGUCACCACUGAAUUUUAUGCUUUUGUUGUAAGGCAGUGAGCUUGCUCCACACACAGUCCAAAUUGAGCAAAAACCCCUUCAAAGCCCCCUCCCCCACCCAAUGAUGGCAUUGUCCUUUUUAAUGUACGCUUAGAGAAUGAAACAAUCUGUUUCAAUCCUUGUGUUAGAACAGCUGGAAUGAUAUGAAUAGAGGGGGCUGAGCAGUUCUGCAAAAUCUUUGAUAAUAGAGAAGUACAAGUGUUCCCCAUCAGCAGUAGGAUGAUAAUUUCUCUGGUAUGAAUGAUGUAACCAAGUGGUUGUAUAUUACUGCCCCAUUCUUUCUUGUCCCAAGACACCCUUGGAAACGCGAUGCUACAUCUCAAUGGGAUUUUCCAGUACAAAGAUUCUUUUCAAAUAGCAUAAUUGUGGAUACACACCACUCCUACAGAGGUAAGUAUACUGAAGAUGUGCCAAAACAUUAGGGCAGAAAUUCAGUUCCCAUGGCACACAAGCAGGAAUCCAACCAUUUGCAGCAAUAAAUAAAUUUUUUUGUAGACUCCAAGAUUAUAAAGUAUACACUCUCUGUAAGACUCAAAUUGCUUGUUUAUUUGUUUUGAAGUAAAACAAUCUGAUAAAUGAAACAAAAAAAUUACACAAGAAUGCAGAAUAUUUUUGUUUCACAGCUGAAAUUGGUAUAUUUCUGUUGCUCUUCAACAUAGGAAGCCUAUAGGCAAUGAGAAGUGUUAGGAAGAGAUAACAAUUCUUUGCUUACUAUUGGUUGAACUUUCACUUCUUUGACUUUCAGAGACUAUGUAAACAAAACAAGCAAGCGAAAUAAAGAUGACAGAAAUACUAAAAUAUCUUCCAAUCUGAGAUUCAACCAAAAUUAAGCCCAAGAGAAAAAGAAGAGCAGACAUUCUAUUGGAGACAAAAUGGACAUAAGUAAAAAUUAGUUGGAUGUCCAAUUUCUGGAAAUCAUAUCCUAUGCACAGCAGUUGUAUAAACCUGUCUUUAGAGAGGUGAAGAUCUAUGUAGAACACAUAAUAGGCAUAAUUCGGACAACUCCAAGGGGAAAAAUUGAUGGAUAAACCAUAGAGGGGCAGAUAACCAGCUCAAAAUAAGAAAGAAAAUUUUAACUACAUGUACUUAACAGCAAUAAUGACCACCAUUACUAGGAGUUUAAGCAUAGAUAAUAGUAAGUAAGACCAAAAUAUUCCCUCCCUGAAUUUCCCAGGCCAUCAUGGUGAAGCUAUGAUGCUACAGUUUGUAUGUGAGGAGUUUUAUUCACUUAGGAGCACCAAGGGAAGUGAAAUAUAAGACUCUUCUGUUAAGGACUCUCUUCUGGUAAGGAAGGGUCUAAAUCCUAGACGACAGUCCAGAACUAUAGAUUUUAGUGGAUACUUGUUUUGACCUAGUAUUCAUUUGCCCUCUAUUCGUAUUGGCUAAGGUCACCCUGAUUUUCCUGGGAAAACCAACUCUCCCCCACUCUUCAUUCAGUUGGGGUUCACAUCCCCAAGUCCUAGGGGAAAUCUUAAUAUAGAUUUGUUCAAUAAAGCCAUUAGAUCCCUGGCCACAGUGAUUUGUUGAGCAAUGAGUGUGUAAUUCGCAAGAAGCUAGUUAGGGCUAAUGAGGAGUCUGUCUCUAGGCUAGUGUUGUUGAGCAGUCACAAUAAAAGCCAGAGCUUCUGGAGGUUAUUUUGUCCUCAUGACAGAAAAGCCUAUGCGACAAUAAAGUCAAUUCAGAGUAAAGCAGAACUGAGAUAGGGUCAGAGUAAAAGAGUAAAAAUUCAUGUAAGCUCUUGAAACCAGCCAUGCCUAAAACUAACUCUACCCCAAGACUAUUUAUUCUUUGAACCUCCCUGCCUCUAGUUAACUGUGGUACUUCAGCUUACAUGAGUUGGGAUUCUGUCACAUACAACCAAAGUUUUCUGAUUGCUACAUGGAUGUCCAGUAAGGACAUUAGUGUGAUGACCCUGGACAGUCAAUAGUCACCAAGGGCCAGGAGAAGAGCAGUGGCAAAUUUGGCCAUCUUAUGAUUUUGUCUAGGAGCUGGCAUUGAAUAUCAUACACUAUUGACUUUAACCAGAUCCUCUCUUUAAAUUAUUGAUUGAAUCUUCAUUUUUUUGUCUCUCAACCUCUGCUAAAUUAUUUAGUAUCCUCAUAGCCUUUUGAAACCAAUCACAUCUGAUUUCAGUUAUUCUAGACUUUAGGCAGUUUUUUUUAAUUUUUAUUUAUUUAUCUUGAGAGAGAGAAUCCCAAGCAGGCUCUACGCUGUCAGCACAGAGCCCCUACACAGGGCUCCAUGUCAGGAACUGGGAGAUCAUGACCUGAGCUGAAAUCGAGAGUCAAAUGCUUAACCAACUGAGCCACCCAGGCACCCCAGCUGUCUUAGUUUUUAAAGACUUAAAUACAUGGGUAUAAUUUGGUAUAACAGAACAUUUUAAUAAAUUGAUUGCAAGUGCUUGCCUGUUAUUGUCUUACUGUAUUUCACCCUUCUUCAUUUAUUUAUUCUUGUAUUGAGUUAUUUAUUAUUGAGUUAUGUAUCCUCUUUGUAUUUAAUUUGAAUACUCUAAAAAGAGAGAAAAUCAGGUUAUGAAUACUUAGAGUGGUAUAGUGUUUAUAUAGCCAUUUUAUUUCCAUUUUGAUACUUUAUUUGUAACUCUUAAAUUCUCCUUAAAAUACUUUGGUCGGGUCCUUGAUACAUACCGUUUUUAUUUGCAAAGAAAUUUAAUUCAAAUUUGACUAGAUACAAUUUCUAGCAUGCAAUGAAUCCUUAAGCAGUUAUUUUUCUAUUUUGUUUCUGAUAGAGUGUGUUUCACAAUGACAGAAGACAACAUGAUAAGAAAGGGAACUAA